Molecule: ribosomal RNA, 274 nt
Filed under: uncultured bacterium
Lineage: Bacteria
Description: partial 16S ribosomal RNA
Rfam family: Bacterial small subunit ribosomal RNA
Source: RNAcentral
AGACGAAGGUGGCAACCGUUGUUCGGAAUCACUGGGCAUAAAGCGCACGUAGGCAGGAACGUAAGUCGGGUGUGAAAUCCCCUGGCUCACCCAGGGAACUGCGUCCGAUACUGCGAGGCUUGAGGACAGGAGGGGAGAGCGGAACUUCUGGUGGAGCGGUGAAAUGCGUAGAUAUCAGAAGGAACACCGGUGGCGAAAGCGGCUCUCUGGUCUGUCCCUGACGCUGAGGUGCGAAAGCUAGGGGAGCAAACGGGAUUAGAAACCCCGGUAGUCC